Molecule: ribosomal RNA, 465 nt
Filed under: uncultured bacterium
Lineage: Bacteria
Description: partial 16S ribosomal RNA
Rfam family: Bacterial small subunit ribosomal RNA
Source: RNAcentral
CCUACGGGUGGCAGCAGUAGGGAAUCUUCCACAAUGGACGAAAGUCUGAUGGGGCAACGCCGCGUGCGUGAAGAAGGGUUUCGGCUCGUAAAGCUCUGUUGGUAGUGAAGAAAGAUUGAGGUAGUAACUGGCCUUUAUUUGACGGUACUUACUUAGAAAGUCAAGGCUAACUACGUGCCAGCAGCCGCGGUGAUACGUAGGUGGCAAGUGUUGUCCGGAUUUAUUGGGCGUAAAGCGAGUGGAGGCGGUUCAAUAAGUCUGAUGUGAAAGCCUUCGGCUGAACCGGGGAAUUGCAUCUAAUACUGUUGAUCUAGAGUGCAGAUGAGGUGGGUGGAACGUCAUGGGUAGCGGUGGAAUGCGUAGAUAUAUGAAAGAACACCGGUGGCGAAGGCAGCUCACUAGUCUACAACUGACGCUGAGGCUCGAAAGCAUGGGUAGCGAACAGGAUUAGAUACCCGAGUAGUC